This 508-nucleotide ribosomal RNA is filed under the name uncultured bacterium. Its description in RNAcentral is "partial 16S ribosomal RNA". It matches the Rfam family "Bacterial small subunit ribosomal RNA", at positions 28 to 523 of the family's 1533-position model. The record is from RNAcentral.
GAUGAACGCUAGCUACAGGCUUGACACAUGCAAGUCGAGGGGAAACGACAUCGAAAGCUUGCUUUUGAUGGGCGUCGACCGGCGCACGGGUGAGUAACGCGUAUCCAACCUGCCCACCACUUGGGGAUAACUUUGCGAAAGUAAGACUAAUACCCAAUGACGUCUCUAGAAGACAUCUGAAAGAGAUUAAAGAUUUAUCGGUGAAGGCUGGGGAUGCGUCUGAUUAGCUUGUUGGCGGGCUCACGGACCACCAAGGCGACGAUCAGUAGGGGUUCUGAGAGGAAGUGCCCGCAGAUUGGAACUGAGACACGGUCCAAACUCCUACGGGAGGCAGCAGUGAAGAAUAUUGGUCAAUGGACGAGAGUCUGAACCAGCCAAGUAGCGUGCAGGAUGAUGGCCCUAUGGGUUGUAAACUGCUUUUAUAAGGGAAUAAAGUGAGUCUCGUGAGACUUUUUGCAUGUACCUUAUGAAUAAGGACCGGCUAAUUCCGUGCCAGCCGCCGCCGUAA